GACCUUCCUUCCAUGCUUCCUCCACCGGUUCAAGAGUUCCCGCCAAUUUUGCCUCCACCGGCUCAAGACCUUCCUUCAAUGUUUCCUCCACCGGCUCAAGAGUUGCCUCCACCGGUUCAAGACUUUCCACAGAUUUUACCUCCACCGGCUCAAGAGUUCCCGCCAGUUUUGCCUCCACCGGUUCAAAACUUUCCACAGAUUUUACCUCCACCGGUUCAAGAAUUUCCGCCGAUUCUACCACCACCGGUUCAAGACUUCCCACCGGUUUUCUCAACACCACCAAUCCUACAAGAUCCACCAACAGAACCAAUAUUCUCCACGCCACCA
This 327-nucleotide long non-coding RNA is filed under the name Brassica napus (rape). RNAcentral describes it as "long non-coding RNA (BNAP_LNC008411)". The record is from RNAcentral. Lineage: Eukaryota; Viridiplantae; Streptophyta; Magnoliopsida; Brassicales; Brassicaceae.